This 497-nucleotide ribosomal RNA is filed under the name uncultured bacterium. Its description in RNAcentral is "partial 16S ribosomal RNA". It matches the Rfam family "Bacterial small subunit ribosomal RNA", at positions 28 to 507 of the family's 1533-position model. The record is from RNAcentral.
GAUGAACGCUGGCGGCGUGCCCAAUACAUGCAAGUCGAGCGAACGGACGAGAAGCUUGCUUCUCUGGUGUUAGCGGCGGACGGGUGAGUAGCACGUGGAUAACCUACCUAUAAGACUGGGAUAACUUCGGGAAACCGGAGCUAAUACCGGAUAAUAUUUUGAACCGCAUGGUUCAAAAGUGAAAGACGGUCUUGCUGUCACUUAUAGAUGGAUCCGCGCUGCAUUAGCUAGUUGGUAAGGUAACGGCUUACCAAGGCAACGAUGCAUAGCCGACCUGAGAGGGUGAUCGGCCACACUGGAACUGAGACACGGUCCAGACUCCUACGGGAGGCAGCAGUAGGGAAUCUUCCGCAAUGGGCGAAAGCCUGACGGAGCAACGCCGCGUGAGUGAUGAAGGUCUUCGGAUCGUAAAACUCUGUUAUUAGGGAAGAACAUAUGUGUAAGUAACUGUGCACAUCUUGACGGUACCUAAUCAGAAAGCCACGGCUAACUACGUG